AGAGUUUGAUCCUGGCUCAGAUUGGACGCUGGCGGCAUGCCUAACACAUGCAAGUCGAACGGUAACAGCAGAGCUUGCUCUGGCUGACGAGUGGCGGACGGGUGAGUAAUAAAUAGGAAUCUGCCCUAUAGUGGGGGACAACCUGGGGAAACUCAGGCUAAUACCGCAUAAUCUCUACGGAGGAAAGGGGGCUUCGGCUCUCGCUAUUGGAUGAGCCUAUUUCUGAUUAGCUAGUUGGUAGGGUAAAAGCCUACCAAGGCAACGAUCAGUAGCUGGUCUGAGAGGAUGAUCAGCCACACUGGGACUGAGACACGGCCCAGACUCCUACGGGAGGCAGCAGUGGGGAAUAUUGGACAAUGGGGGAAACCCUGAUCCAGCAAUGCCGCGUGGGUGAAGAAGGCUCGCGGGUUGUAAAGCCCUUUCAGUAGUGAGGAAAAGCUAAUGGUUAAUACCCAUUAGUCUUGACGUUAACUACAGAAGAAGCACCGCUAACU
RNAcentral lists this ribosomal RNA (494 nucleotides) under uncultured bacterium. RNAcentral describes it as "bacterial SSU rRNA". It matches the Rfam family "Bacterial small subunit ribosomal RNA", at positions 8 to 502 of the family's 1533-position model. The record is from RNAcentral.